Molecule: ribosomal RNA, 253 nt
Filed under: uncultured bacterium
Lineage: Bacteria
Description: partial 16S ribosomal RNA
Rfam family: Bacterial small subunit ribosomal RNA
Source: RNAcentral
UACGGGGGGGGCAAGCGUUGUUCGGAAUUACUGGGCGUAAAGGGCGCGUAGGCGGCCUGCUAAGUCGGAUGUGAAAUCCCUCGGCUCAACCGAGGAACUGCAUCCGAUACUGGCGGGCUUGAAUCCGGGAGAGGGAUGCGGAAUUCCAGGUGUAGCGGUGAAAUGCGUAGAUAUCUGGAGGAACACCGGUGGCGAAGGCGGCAUCCUGGACCGGCAUUGACGCUGAGGCGCGAAAGCCAGGGGAGCAAACGGG